GCAAUUUACUCACAGAACUGAGCUUUGGGACAUUUGAAGCAUGGCAUGGAAUGCAGUUUUUAAACCAAGUAAUUCUCAAUCAUAAUCCUCUGAGGACUGUCAAAGAUUCAUCUCUUUUUAAAUUACCAGCAUUAAAAUAUCUAGACUUGGGACAAACACAUGUGCCACUUACAGCACUUGAGAACAUAGUCACAAUGGCUUUGGAAUUGGAAACAUUG
Chinchilla lanigera (long-tailed chinchilla) is the source of this 218-nucleotide long non-coding RNA. RefSeq lists it as uncharacterized. The transcript has 3 exons. The record is from RefSeq and is a predicted model, not a curated record. Lineage: Eukaryota; Metazoa; Chordata; Mammalia; Rodentia; Chinchillidae.